UACGGAGGGAGCUAGCGUUGUUCGGAUAUACUGGGCGUAAAGCGCACGUAGGCGGCGCAGCAAGUCAGGGGGUGAAAUCCCGGAGCUCAACUCCGGAACUGCCUUUGAAACUGCAGUGCUAGAAUCCUGGAGAGGCGAGUGGAAUUCCGAGUGUAGAGGUGAAAUUCGUAGAUAUUCGCAAGAACACCAGUGGCGAAGGCGGCUCACUGGCCCGGUACUGACGCUGAGGUGCGAAAAGCGUGGGGGAGCAAACAGG
Molecule: ribosomal RNA, 256 nt
Filed under: uncultured bacterium
Lineage: Bacteria
Description: partial 16S ribosomal RNA
Rfam family: Bacterial small subunit ribosomal RNA
Source: RNAcentral